UGUGGGAGCGGGCUUGCUCGCGAUGGUAUCACUGCGGCUUAUCUGUAAGACCGCAUCGUCUGCAUCGCGAGCAAUCCCGCUCCCACA
Molecule: unclassified non-coding RNA, 87 nt
Filed under: Pseudomonas fragi
Lineage: Bacteria; Pseudomonadati; Pseudomonadota; Gammaproteobacteria; Pseudomonadales; Pseudomonadaceae
Source: RNAcentral